GAAGUGGUCUGCCAAGUUCUCUUGGCCGCCCUUCUCCCUCUCUCAUCGGAUACACAUGCCCCCACAUCCGCGGCGAGCACCAACACACACUCACAAGGGCGGAAAUCUGUUCACAAGCGCAUCCAUUGCACGCUGAGCGGCCCUCCUCGAUCAAAUGGAUGCCCCUUUCUCCCUGGGGAGCGACAGCUCUCUCACGAGCCUGCUCCUCGCCGCCGUCGUGCCGUUCCUGUGCCUGCGGGCCUUCCCCUUCCUUUUCCACGCGUGGCCCAACUUUCUUUAUCUGUGGCUCACCUCGUGUUUUGAUAGGCAAGUUGCCAUGGUCAUGGAGCGAGUGAGCCCCAAUCGCGUUAUCCAGGACGAUAUUAUGAUUCGCAGCAUUAUGGGAUACGUCUCCCACUGCUACGUGCGCAGCAUGCAGCGCGGCGCCGACGCGUGCGAUGCCGUGGCCACGGCGGACUACGAAUACAGCUUCCUUUUUGACAAGUCGGACAUGUUCGAAGAGGACUGGGUGCCCUACUCGACACGCUUCCGCUCGCUCUUCGGACGCGUGAUUGCCUCUUGCAUGGAGCUUUCCGUUGUCCCCAGCUACGGGCAUUCCAUCCAAGUGGAGCCCGGACUCUUCGUGCGCUUUCUUCCUAACAGGCACGCGCGAGGUGGCCGCAGAGACGAAGAUGGGCGGUGGUCGGAGGAGAGCCAGCAGAGCUCGGAGUGCCCGAACGGUGGUAAACGGCCUGGUGCCGCGGCAAGCGAGCUCAACCAGGUUGACAAGUUGAACAUGUACAUGUUCUACAGCAUGCGCAGGUACGCGGAAAGCAUGGAUGAUCAUCCGGAGCCGUGCGUGGAUGGCAGAGCAGGUGCGGUCAUCUCCGAGGAGCGCCCCUUUGACCCCGGGACGCAGAGCAAUGCAGACCGAGGCAGGGGCGGCGGUGGCGGCAGCAGCAGCAGCAGCACGCAGUCAGCGUCGACCUUUUUCGAAGACCCCAAACAACCACCUGAAGACCGCGUCGUCGUGCUCGAGUAUCGUCGACCGCUCCCGCACGAGCAUUCACAGGCUCUAUGCAACAGCAGCAACACUCGUGGCGGCGCUAGCAAGUACGACGCGUCGCAGUCGGCGGAAGACGUGAUCGAAGGCUUUCUGGGGCGUGUCCACACGUGGUACCUAGGGCACGUGGCGCAGAGCAAGCGAGCAGCGCUCUUAGUGAUCUAUCCAUCGCUGCUGAUGGCACAAUUCACGAAGAUGGGCACCAUGGCACCAAAAAUGCGCAAUAUAAAUCCACAUGCCGAGUUCUCCGGAAAGUACUAUGUGCUAGAAAGUGCUGCACUGGGGAGCGAGGAAAUCACGGGCGCGGCGGCUGCCAGCUCCGCAUCGUUUUCUGUGAAUGCGGGAACGAAAGCAGGCGACAGCACCACCGUCACCGUCGUGCGGGAACUGGCGACGACGACGACGACGGGAGGUCACGUGGGCCUCCGCGGCGCCGAACUGUCAAGCGGGUCGCGAGGCAAAACGUUCAACUCGCUCUUCUUUCCUGGAAAGACACGCGUCCUGUCGAUGAUUGACGACUUUGUGGAGGAGCGUGGCCGCUUCGGUGUGCCGGGAGUCGUACCUCGACUUACCUUCUUCCUGCACGGAGCACCUGGCACGGGCAAGACGUCUUUUGUGAAGGCUCUGGCGCGGCAUCUCCGGCGCAACCUCGUGGUGGUCUCCAUGAGCGAGAUCAUCACGGUGAACGAGUUGCAGAGAGUUCUGCAGCCCUUCGACAUGGAGCUGAGAGAGGGUGGGGAAAGCCGCAGCAGGGGUACAGGGCCUCUAAGCGUCCGCCCGCAUCAGUCCGUGUACGUCUUCGAAGACUUCGAUGCGAUCGGUGACGCCUGGGAGGCUUUGAUAAACAUGCAAGCGCGGCAGAGGAAGCUGGCGGGGGAGCGGCAGCUGGGGAAGUGGACGAAGUCCUCUGGCGGCAAGGUGAGAGGCAGCGAUGACGGUGAUGGUGACAAGUCGCAGGCGGCUUCACCUUCCUCAUCUGCGGGCUCAAGAUCUGGCGAGUCUUUCGACAGUCACGAGGACUACGGCAGCGACAGCGACGACGGCGACUCGGAGUGCAGGGGCACGUUUCUACUGAGAGAUAGCGUGCCAGAGGAGCUCACCCGAGACCAUCUCACGGUAGAGCGCUUCAUUGACCUCUUCAACGGAUUGAACCUGCCCGACUCCUUCAUCGCCGUCUUCACCACGAAUCAUCCAGAGAGGAUCAACCCGCUUAUCGCGUCCUCGUCCGUGAUGGAUGUGACGUUGAACAUGGGGAUGCUCGAUGAUGAAUGUGCGACGCAGAUGGUCGAGCACUACUAUGCUGCCGAGCUCGCCGAUCAAACGGUGGACGGCGGCGGCCGACGGCACCUCUCCACCUCACAGCUCGCGGCUCUGCGUGCGGCACUGCGGGUGUUUAAUGCCAGCUCCACUGGACUGAGCGGGGCGCUGCUGGAGAAGAUGUGCGUCGAGUGCGACACAGUCGCCGCCUUGACGGCACGCCUGAGCUCAGUGGACUCUUUUGACGCGGUGGACGUGUUUUAGGGGGCGCCUCUCUAAAGUUACACGUGCGCGCAAUCUCGCGCGAUGUGCGGGCACGGCGGCCCGCCAAUGCUGCUUUAGUCGCCUCUUUAAAUCGUUACCCGCGACGGCAUGUCGGCGUCUCCAUCUCCCUCUCCCUCUCUAUGUGCCUGUGCACGUGCGUGUGUUGGGUGCAUCCUCUGCUCCGCUGCGGCCUUUCGCCACCCCCCCCCUUCCUGAUCGGCUCUGUGCGACGCGGCCAUUUUCUUCUUCGCUCGGCCGUUGUGGAUUUCGCGUUGAACUCCCGUCCUGCCCUCUUUGGCCGUGUGUGAGCGCGGAACGCGUCCCCGUGCUGCAGGACCCUUCGCGGUGUGUGUUGGGUGAAGAAGAACCCGGCGUGCUCUGUGGGCGGGCGUGUGGUGCGGCUGUAUCGCCCUCUACGCUUCUGUUGCACGCACAGCCCCGCGCCGGCCCUGCUGGUCCGCUCCUUCUCGCGGUCUUCCACCACCAGCACCAACAGACACCCCCUUCUCCUCCAGUGUUGUUGCUGCCGCUGCGGAUGCUGUUGCCGGGGCCGAGGACAGAGACAUGUGUAGAAGCAGGGCGAGAGAAGCGCAAGCAAUCACAUGCGCACGUCGGCUAGCACGCGUAGCCCACCCCCUUCACCCAUCCAACCAUACGCAGCACCCCCCCAGCAUGGACGAAAG
This 3246-nucleotide unclassified non-coding RNA is filed under the name Leishmania donovani. RNAcentral's name for it is "gene:LdHU3.34.0530(CDS-product:AAA_domain_(dynein -related_subfamily)/ATPase_family_associated_with_various_c ellular_activities_(AAA)/AAA_domain_containing_protein_puta tive)". The record is from RNAcentral. Lineage: Eukaryota; Euglenozoa; Kinetoplastea; Trypanosomatida; Trypanosomatidae.